This 153-nucleotide ribosomal RNA is filed under the name Cymbidium faberi. Its description in RNAcentral is "5.8S ribosomal RNA". It matches the Rfam family "5.8S ribosomal RNA". From Rfam's summary of the family: 5.8S ribosomal RNA (5.8S rRNA) is a component of the large subunit of the eukaryotic ribosome. It is transcribed by RNA polymerase I as part of the 45S precursor that also contains 18S and 28S rRNA. Lineage: Eukaryota; Viridiplantae; Streptophyta; Magnoliopsida; Asparagales; Orchidaceae. The record is from RNAcentral.
GGACACAACUCUCAGUAAUGGAUAUCUCAGUUGUCACAUCGAUGAAGAGUGUAGUAAAAUGCAAUAUGUGGUGUGAAUUGCAGAAUCUUGCGAACCAUCGAGUCUUUGAACACAAGUUGCGCCCGAGGGCUGACGUCCGCCUGGGUGUCAAGC